CUCGCCACCACGCGCCGCCGCCGCUGCCGCCUCACUCGCCGAGGAGCUCGCCCAUCUCCUCCCCUCGCCGCCACGCGCCGCCGCCGCUCCCGUCCAGCGCCGAGGAUCUCGGCCAUCUCCUCCGCUCGCCGCCAUGCGAUGUUGUUGCCUCGCUCUCCCAUCUCAUCCGUUCGUCGUCAUGCGCCGUCGCCGCCUCGCUCGCCGCCACGCAACGCUGCCGCCACGCUCGCCAGUCUCCGCCGCUCGCCCAUGUAUCAAAGCUAGUUAAUCCUCCACGAAACCCUCCACAAAAUGGCCAAUCCAGUCUCGACUUCCCUUGAUCUGGUGCAGCAGUCACGCGAUGGGUGAAGCUGCGGGGGCGCGCGAGCAGGCUCUCCCUUCUUCGACCUUAACCGGUGCCCGAAACGACGCGUUGCACGGUCCAGGCGGGACUGGUACGAACAUGCCCGUAGGCUGUUCGACCAAAGUUCUCACCGGCUCCUCUCUUCUCUUCGCCUAAGCCGACCGAGUGAUUACGUCGAUGGGGCCGCCGCCACGCAGGAGAGACCGGUUAUCUCGAGGCUCAUGAAUCCGCAGUCCUUCCUCUCCCAUCCCCGAGCAACAGUCAUCCCCGACGAAUCUGCUAAAUCGGGCGUGUUAUCAGUGACAUGGCUGCCAAUUUGAGGUUUUAUUCCAAGCCCAAACUCCUUAGUGAGAAUGAAGAUCCACAAAUUGGAGAUGACAAGCCAGCCAAGAGAAGGAGAACUGCCAGUACAACCACGAGGAAAUCAAGUUUAAAAAAGGCUCACAAGCUAAUGUUAAGGUGCAGAAUUCACAAGUUGCAGCUAUGUAAUUGAGAGUAACAGUGAAAUAUUUUGAUAUUGUAGUUGAUCUUGUUUUUCGUUUCUGCUGGUAGCAGUCUUUUUGUAUUGUAGUUCCAAUCUGAAUUAUUGAAUCUGUUUGGGAUGGAACUCGGGUAGUUUAUAACUGUUUACAAUACAAUUGUGGAUGAUAAUGUACUGUUGGGGCACACAAUUUGAAUACUACUACAUGUGAUAUUUUGGGGGCAGGUUAAUGAAGUGCGUCUAUUUGUUUUAAGGGCA
This is a long non-coding RNA of Brachypodium distachyon (stiff brome), 1082 nucleotides long. RefSeq lists it as uncharacterized. The record is from RefSeq and is a predicted model, not a curated record. The transcript is spliced from 2 exons. Lineage: Eukaryota; Viridiplantae; Streptophyta; Magnoliopsida; Poales; Poaceae.